GCCUGGGUGGCUCAGUCAGUUGAGCGUCUGACUCCGGGUCAGGUCAUGAUCUUGUAGUUCAUGAGUUCAAUCCCCAUAUUGGGCU
RNAcentral lists this transfer RNA (85 nucleotides) under Felis catus (domestic cat). It matches the Rfam family "tRNA". Rfam says of the family: Transfer RNA (tRNA) molecules are approximately 80 nucleotides in length. The record is from Rfam by way of RNAcentral. Lineage: Eukaryota; Metazoa; Chordata; Mammalia; Carnivora; Felidae.